UCGAGAAUUUUUCACAAUGGGCGCAAGCCUGAUGGAGCGACGCCGCGUGGGGGAUGAAUGGCUUCGGCCCGUAAACCCCUGUCAUUUGCGAUCAACCGUUAUUAUUUAAAAGAUGAUGACCUGAUAGUAGCGGAAGAGGAAGGGACGGCUAACUCUGUGCCAGCAGCCGCGGUAAUACAGAGGUCCCAAGCGUUGUUCGGAUUCACUGGGCGUAAAGGGUGCGUAGGUGGCAAGGUAAGUCGGAUGUGAAAUCUCCGAGCUCAACUCGGAAAUGGCAUUGGAAACUGCUUUGCUCGAGGGUUGGAGGGGGGACUGGAAUACUUGGUGUAGCAGUGAAAUGCGUAGAUAUCAAGUGGAACACCAGUGGCGAAGGCGAGUCCCUGGACAACUCCUGACACUGAGGCACGAAAGCUAGGGGAGCAAACA
RNAcentral lists this ribosomal RNA (426 nucleotides) under uncultured prokaryote. Its description in RNAcentral is "bacterial SSU rRNA". It matches the Rfam family "Bacterial small subunit ribosomal RNA", at positions 355 to 774 of the family's 1533-position model. The record is from RNAcentral.